GAGAAGGUGAGUUUCCUGACUAGCUUCUAAAUCAUUGUUGGGUGCUUUUGAGACCUCAUCAAAUGCUUUGAUUGCUUGCAAUUUCGCAGCUGAAGACCGUAUCAGAUGAUAAGUAUAAGUCCAGACGUAGAAACCACCAAGCGCCAUAGAAAAAGAUGCAUAUGAGAGUCCAACAGAGUUGCAAGUGGCACUAUCAAAUGGAC
This 203-nucleotide unclassified non-coding RNA is filed under the name Hevea brasiliensis (rubber tree). Lineage: Eukaryota; Viridiplantae; Streptophyta; Magnoliopsida; Malpighiales; Euphorbiaceae. The record is from RNAcentral.